This is a long non-coding RNA of Coffea eugenioides, 217 nucleotides long. RefSeq lists it as uncharacterized. Lineage: Eukaryota; Viridiplantae; Streptophyta; Magnoliopsida; Gentianales; Rubiaceae. The transcript has 3 exons. The record is from RefSeq and is a predicted model, not a curated record.
CAAGACUAAUAGCAAGAAUCGAAAAAAAAAACAAAAGAUGCCACAUCGAACAGGGCGAAAAGAUCAUGUGAACCUCAGGGAAGAGCUUCGGAUUAAAACUGGAAAAGAGCCUUCGAAACUAGACGUUUUUAUUCAUUCAAGACAAGGAAAACAAAUGGAUGAGUUGACUUCACAAACAAUUGCAACUAUGAAUGAGGAAAUACAAAAACUGCCAAAG